ACUGAGACACGGCCCAGACUCCCUUGGGAGGCAGCAGUGAGGAAUUUUCCGCAAUGGGCGAAAGCCUGACGGAGCAAUACCGCGUGAGGGAUGAAGGAUUUUGGUCUGUAAACCUCUUUUUUCAAGAAAGAAGCUCUGACGGUACUUGAAGAAUAAGCAUCGGCUAACUCCGUGCCAGCAGCCGCGGUAAUACGGGGGAUGCAAGCGUUAUCCGGAAUCAUUGGGCGUAAAGCGCCUGUAGGUUGUUUAGUAAGUUCGUUGUUAAAGACUAGGGCUUAACCCUAGGAAAGCGAUGAAAACUACUAGACUUGAGUAUGGUAGGGGUAGAGGGAAUUUCUAGUGUAGUGGUGAAAUGCGUAGAUAUUAGAAAGAACACCGGUGGCGAAAGCGCUCUACUGGACCAUUACUGACACUGAGAGGCGAAAGCUAGGGGAGCAAAAGGGAUU
RNAcentral lists this ribosomal RNA (446 nucleotides) under Aurantiochytrium limacinum. Its description in RNAcentral is "partial Bacterial small subunit ribosomal RNA". It matches the Rfam family "Bacterial small subunit ribosomal RNA", at positions 318 to 779 of the family's 1533-position model. The record is from RNAcentral. Lineage: Eukaryota; Bigyra; Thraustochytrida; Thraustochytriidae.